GAUGAACGCUGGCGGCGUGCCUAAUACAUGCAAGUCGAGCGAACAGACGAGGAGCUUGCUCCUCUGACGUUAGCGGCGGACGGGUGAGUAACACGUGGAUAACCUACCUAUAAGACUGGGAUAACUUCGGGAAACCGGAGCUAAUACCGGAUAAUAUAUUGAACCGCAUGGUUCAAUAGUGAAAGACGGUUUUGCUGUCACUUAUAGAUGGAUCCGCGCCGCAUUAGCUAGUUGGUAAGGUAACGGCUUACCAAGGCAACGAUGCGUAGCCGACCUGAGAGGGUGAUCAGCGACACUGGAACUGAGACACGGUCCAGACUCCUACGGGAGGCAGCAGUAGGGAAUCUUCCGCAAUGGGCGAAAGCCUAACGGAGCAACGCCGCGGGAGUGAUGAAGGUUUUCGGAUCGUAAAACUCUGUUAUUAGGGAAGAACAAAUGUGUAAGUAACUAUGCACGUCUUGACGGUACCUAAUCAGAAAGCCACGGCUAACUACGUG
RNAcentral lists this ribosomal RNA (497 nucleotides) under uncultured bacterium. RNAcentral's name for it is "partial 16S ribosomal RNA". It matches the Rfam family "Bacterial small subunit ribosomal RNA", at positions 28 to 507 of the family's 1533-position model. The record is from RNAcentral.